RNAcentral lists this ribosomal RNA (439 nucleotides) under uncultured bacterium. RNAcentral's name for it is "partial 16S ribosomal RNA". It matches the Rfam family "Bacterial small subunit ribosomal RNA", at positions 339 to 795 of the family's 1533-position model. The record is from RNAcentral.
CUACGGGUUGCUGCAGUAGGGAAUCUUAGACAAUGGGGGAAACCCUGAUCUAGCCAUGCCGCGUGAGUGAUGAAGGCCUUAGGGUUGUAAAGCUCUUUCGCUGGGGAAGAUAAUGACGGUACCCAGUAAAGAAACCCCGGCUAACUCCGUGCCAGCAGCCGCGGUAAUACGGAGGGGGUUAGCGUUGUUCGGAAUUACUGGGCGUAAAGCGCGCGUAGGCGGGCUAUUAAGUCAGGGGUGAAAUCCCGGGGCUCAACCCCGGAACUGCCUUUGAUACUGGUAGUCUUGAGUUCGAGAGAGGUGAGUGGAAUUCCGAGUGUAGAGGUGAAAUUCGUAGAUAUUCGGAGGAACAUCAGUGGCGAAGGCGGCUCACUGGCUCGAUACUGACACUGAGGUGCGAAAGUGUGGGGAGCAAACAGGAUUAGAUACCCCCGUAGUC